GACGAACGCUGGCGGCGUGCCUAAUACAUGCAAGUAGGACGAGUUGCGAACGGGUGAGUAACGCGUGGUAACCUACCUAUUAGAGGGGGAUAACUAUUGGAAACGGUAGCUAAUACCGCAUACCAUCGGAUGUGCCCAGAUUGGAUUAGCUAGUAGGUGGGGUAACGGCUCCCCUAGGCGACGAUCCCUAGCUGGUCUGAGCGGAUGACCAGCCACACUUGAACUGAGACACGGUCCAGACUCCUACGGGAGGCAGCAGUGGGGAAUAUUGCACAAUGGGGGAAACCCUGAUGCAGCAACGCCGCGUGCGGGAUGACGGCCUUCGGGUUGUAAACCGCUUUCAGCCAUGACGCGGUAGUGGCAGAAGAAGCACCGGCUAACUACGUGCCAGCAGCCGCGGUAAUC
RNAcentral lists this ribosomal RNA (405 nucleotides) under uncultured bacterium. RNAcentral describes it as "partial 16S ribosomal RNA". It matches the Rfam family "Bacterial small subunit ribosomal RNA", at positions 28 to 525 of the family's 1533-position model. The record is from RNAcentral.